UACGGGGGGGGCAAGCGGUGUUCGGAAUUACUGGGCGUAAAGGGCUCGUAGGCGGCCAACUAAGUCAGACGUGAAAUCCCUCGGCUUAACCGGGGAACUGCAUCUGAUACUGGAUGGCUUGAGUUCGGGAGAGGGAUGCGGAAUUCCAGGUGUAGCGGUGAAAUGCGUAGAUAUCUGGAGGAACACCGGUGGCGAAGGCGGCAUCCUGGACCGACACUGACGCUGAGGAGCGAAAGCGUGGGGAGCAAACAGG
RNAcentral lists this ribosomal RNA (253 nucleotides) under uncultured bacterium. RNAcentral's name for it is "partial 16S ribosomal RNA". It matches the Rfam family "Bacterial small subunit ribosomal RNA", at positions 524 to 776 of the family's 1533-position model. The record is from RNAcentral.